AUGCAGGCCUAUUGUGGGUCAUGUGGAUUGACCGCGAAUGCCCACUCUGAUCGAAGGGGUGAGAAGGGCAUUUGGAGUGCUCCAAACCCGUUUUGCAGUUGUUCGAGGACCUGCAAGAAUAUGAGAUGCAGAGACGUUGUGGGAAGUGCAACAUGUGUGAUCAUGCACACCAUGAUUGUAGAGGAUGAGGGUGACGGAGUUCGUCAUGGUCUGGAAUCUGAGCGCAUGGGUGAUCCUAUCCAACUUACAGAUCAGAAUUCGGCGACGUUCACUGAAGGAUGGGGAUGCAAACACAUCAUUCUUCCACCGGCAGAGCACCUACUGCCGACAGAAGAAUAG
This 339-nucleotide ribosomal RNA is filed under the name Triticum aestivum (bread wheat). RNAcentral's name for it is "partial small subunit ribosomal RNA". The record is from RNAcentral. Lineage: Eukaryota; Viridiplantae; Streptophyta; Magnoliopsida; Poales; Poaceae.